GUGAUCGCCGGCAUCUACCUCCUUGGAGAGAAGCUCAACUGCUGGCAAUGGGGUGACGGGAGGCAGCUGCAGGAGAAGAGGAAGUGAUUGCACAUUUUCCAAGAACCAAGGAGGAAGAAAACACAAGAUUUUUCUCUUCUUUUUUUUUUUUUUUUUCCUUGUGGGGGGAGGUGGUGGAGCAACAUAGAAAGGCAGAAAUGACAGGGAGAAAAUUUUAAGUUUAAUAAGAGAGUUAAGGUAGCUUAAUUGAGGACUCUUGCUUUUUUGAAAGAUUGACUACACACGUCCAAAGCAACUCCUGCCCUCUGAGUAUCGGUUACUUUGUCAGAGCUCCAUGGAUGAUGGUCUCUGGUCAAGAUCCAGCCCAAGAAACUCACAUAAACUUGAUGUUAGAAUGUAUUUAGAGAGAAGGGGAGAGAAGAGGAAUUUGGGAUUAUUCAGACUCUUCACUUUACAGAGGAAGAUGCUGAGGACUUAGAUGAGAAGUUACCUGCAUGAGACCAAAGUGUUAGUGUCAGAGCCAAGACAAUGGCUUUUGUCCCCUGGGUCUCUUAACUCCCAGUCCUGGGCAACUUUUGAAUAAUUUCAACUCUUCUGAAAAUCAAGCAUUUUAGUAAGCUGGUUAUUUUCAUGGUUUGCUCAUCUACUUUUUUUCCCACCCAUAUAGAAAUGUAGGAAGAUGGCUGCUGCUGACAUUGUCUGUCUGCCUGUUAUGAUAGCAAAUUAAUUGGGGCAAUAAGAAAAUAAGAUAAAAAUGAUAUUGGGAAAUCUGUUGCCCUUGGGAACAAACAUCUGGUGCAGAUCUCUUCCAUUGGCUCAUCAACUAAUUCGCUCAUUUGCCAAAUAAAUGUUGUGCAAUUUA
This is a long non-coding RNA of Galeopterus variegatus (Sunda flying lemur), 862 nucleotides long. RefSeq lists it as uncharacterized. The record is from RefSeq and is a predicted model, not a curated record. Lineage: Eukaryota; Metazoa; Chordata; Mammalia; Dermoptera; Cynocephalidae. The transcript is spliced from 2 exons.